GAGACUAUUAUGGGAAUAAAAGAAUGGAGUUAGCAGGUGGCCUCGUGUCCCUUUUGUUUGAAGACUUGUUCAAGAGAUUUAACGCAGAAUUGAAAAAAUUGCAGAUCUUACAAUUCCCAAACCUCGGGCUGCUCAAUUUGAUAUCGUUCGUCAUAUGAGACAAGAUCCUAUCACCAAUGGCCUUGUUAUUGCAAUAUCAACUGGCAAAUGGGUGGUGAAGAGAUUUAAAAUGGAGAGAAAAGGUGUCACACAGGUUUUGACAAGAUUAUCGUACAUAUCCGCUCUUGGAAUGAUGACAAGAAUUUCAUCGCAGUUU
This is a non-coding RNA of Styela clava, 316 nucleotides long. Lineage: Eukaryota; Metazoa; Chordata; Ascidiacea; Stolidobranchia; Styelidae. The record is from RefSeq and is a predicted model, not a curated record.